GGAGUGGUACUCAAGAGGCUGAAGAGGACUGAUUGCUAAUCAGUUAGGACGGGAAACUGUCGCGAGAGUUCGAAUCUCUCCCAUUCCGCCA
RNAcentral lists this transfer RNA (91 nucleotides) under Spiroplasma sp. RNAcentral describes it as "tRNA-Ser". It matches the Rfam family "tRNA". From Rfam's summary of the family: Transfer RNA (tRNA) molecules are approximately 80 nucleotides in length. Their secondary structure includes four short double-helical elements and three loops (D, anti-codon, and T loops). RNAcentral also lists the same sequence under 5 other names. The record is from RNAcentral. Lineage: Bacteria; Bacillati; Mycoplasmatota; Mollicutes; Entomoplasmatales; Spiroplasmataceae.